CUGGACAAACGCUGCAUAGAGAUAUGUAGAGGAAAGUCCACGCUCGCACUAUCUGAGAUGAUAGUAGUGUUUAUGCUUAGGGAAAAAAUAACCUAAGGGAGUUUAUACUCACGGCAUUCUAAGACCUAAGGGAAACUAUGGUUUAUGAAUAUAAAGUGCCACAGUGACGAAUUGCUUAGAAAUAAGUAAGUGAAACGCGGUAAACCCCAUAAGCGAGAAACCCAAAUUUUGGUAGGGGAACUAUCCUAGGAGAAAUGAAUCUGUGGGAUGGAUGACGAAAGUCAUAGAUAAAUGUUUGUCGCCUUAAUAGGUACAGAACGUGGCUUAUAA
RNAcentral lists this RNase P RNA (330 nucleotides) under chicken gut metagenome. RNAcentral's name for it is "Bacterial RNase P class B". It matches the Rfam family "Bacterial RNase P class B". Rfam says of the family: Ribonuclease P (RNase P) is a ubiquitous endoribonuclease, found in archaea, bacteria and eukarya as well as chloroplasts and mitochondria. Its best characterised activity is the generation of mature 5'-ends of tRNAs by cleaving the 5'-leader elements of precursor-tRNAs. The record is from RNAcentral.